This 258-nucleotide unclassified non-coding RNA is filed under the name uncultured Lactarius. RNAcentral describes it as "sequence contains ITS2". Lineage: Eukaryota; Fungi; Basidiomycota; Agaricomycetes; Russulales; Russulaceae. The record is from RNAcentral.
AAACCUCAACCUCCUUGGUUUCUUCUUGGAGACCAAAGCAGGCUUGGACUUUGGAGGCCUUUGCUGGCAUCACUUGCCAGCUCCUCUUAAACAAAUUAGCAGGGUCCUCUUUGCUGAUCCUCGACGUGUGAUAAGAUGUUUCCAUGUCUUGGCUUCUGGCUCUGUCACCUUUUGGUUGGGACCUGCUUCUAACCGUCUUUGUGAAGACAAAGUUCGAGCAUGUCUCCCUUCUCGGGAAGCUCCCUCGACCCCACGAAC